AUUACUGGGCGUAAGGGUGCGUAGGCGGUUUUGUAAGUCAGAGGUGAAAUCCCCGGGCUCAACCUGGGAACUGCCUUUGAUACUGCAAGGCUUGAGUAUAGUAGAGGGGGAUGGAAUUCCUCGUGUAGCGGUGAAAUGCGUAGAUAUUAGGAGGAACACCGAUGGCGAAGGCAGGCCCCUGGGAUAUAACUGACGCUCAUGGACGAAAGCGUGGGGAGCAAACAGGAUUAGAUACCCUGGUAGUCCACGCCGUAAACGAUGUCAACUGGUUGUUGGGA
This 278-nucleotide ribosomal RNA is filed under the name uncultured bacterium. Its description in RNAcentral is "partial 16S ribosomal RNA". It matches the Rfam family "Bacterial small subunit ribosomal RNA", at positions 550 to 828 of the family's 1533-position model. The record is from RNAcentral.